AGCUCCAAUAGCGUAUAUUAAAGUUGCUGCAGUUAAAAAGCUCGUAGUUGCAUUUCCGAGGCAAGGGAUUAGUCCGACCUUUGGUGGGUAUUUAAUCCUCUUGCCUCGUCCUUGAGUGGUGCUUCUUGGUAUUAAGUUAUCGAGGAGAUAGCCGCUCAUCGUUUACUGUGAGAAAAUUAGAGUGUUCAAAGCAGGCUUAUGCCGUUGAAUAUAUUAGCAUGGAAUAAUAAGAUAGGACCUCGGCACUAUUGUGUUGGUUUGAGAACCAAGGUAAUGAUGAAUAGGGACAGUUGGGGGUAUUCGUAUUCAGUUGUCAGAGGUGAAAUUCUUAGAUUUACGGAAGACGAACUACUGCGAAAGCAUUUACCAAGGAUGUUUUCA
This 381-nucleotide ribosomal RNA is filed under the name uncultured marine Chaetocerotaceae. RNAcentral's name for it is "SSU rRNA". It matches the Rfam family "Eukaryotic small subunit ribosomal RNA", at positions 587 to 972 of the family's 1831-position model. Lineage: Eukaryota; Bacillariophyta; Thalassiosirophyceae; Chaetocerotales; Chaetocerotaceae. The record is from RNAcentral.